CACUCUUUCCAUACACAACGCCUCCUGUCUUCACAUAGACACACUUGUUGUAAUACUGGUAGUAACCUCUUUGAAAUGCUCCAGGAAUGCCUUUAGGGGUGAAAUC
Long non-coding RNA from Herpailurus yagouaroundi (jaguarundi), 106 nucleotides. RefSeq lists it as uncharacterized. NCBI's taxonomy places the organism in Eukaryota, Metazoa, Chordata, Mammalia, Carnivora, Felidae. The record is from RefSeq and is a predicted model, not a curated record. The transcript has 3 exons.